Molecule: transfer RNA, 70 nt
Filed under: Pristimantis ridens (pygmy robber frog)
Lineage: Eukaryota; Metazoa; Chordata; Amphibia; Anura; Strabomantidae
Description: tRNA-Tyr
Source: RNAcentral
UGAUAAAAAGAGGAUUUGAACCUCUGUCAUUGGGACUACAAGCCACCGCCUGCCUCUGGGCUAUUUUACC